AACGAACGCUGGCGGCAGGCCUAACACAUGCAAGUCGAGCGAGGUCUUCGGACCUAGCGGCGGACGGGUGAGUAACGCGUGGGAACGUGCCUCUUGCUACGGAAUAGCCUCGGGAAACUGGGAGUAAUACCGUAUGUGCCCUACGGGGGAAAGAUUUUAUCGGCAAGAGAUCGGCCCGCGUUGGAUUAGGUAGUUGGUGAGGUAACGGCUCACCAAGCCGACGAUCCAUAGCUGGUUUGAGAGGAUGAUCAGCCACACUGGGACUGAGACACGGCCCAG
RNAcentral lists this ribosomal RNA (279 nucleotides) under uncultured bacterium. RNAcentral's name for it is "partial 16S ribosomal RNA". It matches the Rfam family "Bacterial small subunit ribosomal RNA", at positions 29 to 334 of the family's 1533-position model. The record is from RNAcentral.